This 671-nucleotide long non-coding RNA is filed under the name Musa acuminata (dwarf banana). Its description in RNAcentral is "long non-coding RNA (MACU_LNC004791)". The record is from RNAcentral. Lineage: Eukaryota; Viridiplantae; Streptophyta; Magnoliopsida; Zingiberales; Musaceae.
UUUUUUAAUGUGAUCUCUCUUCUUUAUGAAUUAUUGGAUUUUUAGACCUAUCGCCCUUAAAACCUCGUCUGCUCGGGUGAAGACAAAGCAAGACAUCCCCAUCUACUACUGGACUCUGAUCUGCCGGUAUUCAAUCAAGCAAGCAUGCAAUGGCGGAACACGAAUCUUUGGACUAGUGUGGCAAUUACAUUGCUCGCAACACACACAGCAUAUGAAUCGAUGAAUUAGAAAUCUCAAAGCUUUCCAAUGGAGAAGGCGCGCAGGAUCAGUAUGGCCUGCUGCACUUCAGAUACACGAUUGAUUUCUAAUGGCCCAGCACGACCAGUUCCUGAUCGAAUCCAUGGAACACUUCGGGGUCGUCCUCGCCCACGUGAUGCUGCUCGUUGAGGGCCGCCGCGUUCGCAUGGAAGUCGGUGCUCUUGAUGGUCAUCCCAUCCGCUCCCAAUGCGACGACGUCACCCGCGACGACGUCGGUUUUCAUCAACAGCAUGCACGCGAGCAUCGCGAGGAUUACUGUCGCGCGAAGGGAGGCCAUGGCAUGCGUCGCCGUCGGUCGAGCCGGUGCGCAAGACGAAGAAACAAAGGCCAGCGGACGGACGGACGGAGGAAGGGAUGGAAGGAGGAAGGGGAGCGAAGGAAGCUAUGUAAAGGGAAGGAAGCCAUCAUUUGCG